GGAUGUAAAAGUCGUAACAAGGUCUCCGUAGGUGAACCUGCGGAGGGAUCAUUACUGAGUGAGGGCCUCUGGCCCGGCCUCCAACCCUUUGAUGUCCGACUCUGUUGCCUCGGGGGCGACCCGGCCUUCGGGCCCGGGGCCCCCCGUGGUCCACUCAACUCUGCAUCUUUGCGUCUGAGUAAACAUUAAAUGAAACAAAACUUUCAACAACGGAUCUCUUGGUUCUG
This 227-nucleotide unclassified non-coding RNA is filed under the name plant metagenome. RNAcentral describes it as "partial contains small subunit ribosomal RNA, internal transcribed spacer 1, and 5.8S ribosomal RNA". The stretch from base 1 to 54 matches the Rfam family "Eukaryotic small subunit ribosomal RNA", at positions 1778 to 1831 of the family's 1831-position model. The record is from RNAcentral.